This 492-nucleotide ribosomal RNA is filed under the name uncultured bacterium. Its description in RNAcentral is "partial 16S ribosomal RNA". It matches the Rfam family "Bacterial small subunit ribosomal RNA", at positions 29 to 507 of the family's 1533-position model. The record is from RNAcentral.
AGUGAACGCUGGCGGUAGGCCUAACACAUGCAAGUCGAACGGCAGCACAGUAAGAGUUUGCUCUUACGGGUGGCGAGUGGCGGACGGGUGAGGAAUACAUCGGAAUCUACUUUUUCGUGGGGGAUAACGUAGGGAAACUUACGCUUAUACCGCAUACGACCUACGGGUGAAAGCAGGGGAUCUUCGGACCUCGCGCGAUUGAAUGAGCCGAUGUCGGAUUAGCUAGUUGGCGGGGUAAAGGCCCACCAAGGCGACGAUCCGUAGCUGGUCUGAGAGGAUGAUCAGCCACACUGGAACUGAGACACGGUCCAGACUCCUACGGGAGGCAGCAGUAGGGAAUAUUGGACAAUGGGCGCAAGCCUGAUCCAGCCAUGCCGCGUGGGUGAAGAAGGCCUUCGGGUUGUAAAGCCCUUUUGUUGGGAAAGAAAAGCAGCAGGUUAAUACCCCGCUGUUCUGACGGUACCCAAAGAAUAAGCACCGGCUAACUUCGUG